This 846-nucleotide ribosomal RNA is filed under the name uncultured archaeon. RNAcentral's name for it is "bacterial SSU rRNA". It matches the Rfam family "Archaeal small subunit ribosomal RNA", at positions 19 to 872 of the family's 1478-position model. The record is from RNAcentral.
GGACCUGACUGCUAUCGGAUUGGUACUAAGCCGUGCGAGUCAUUGUAGCAAUACAAGGCGGACGGCUCAGUAACACGUAGUCAACCUAACCUAUGGACGUGGAUAACCUCGGGAAACUGAGAAUAAAACACGAUAGAUCAUUAUGCCUGGAAUGGCUUAUGGUUCAAACAAUUUAUUGCCAUAGGAUGGGACUGCGGCCUAUCAGCUUGUUGGUGAGGUAAUGGCCCACCAAGGCUAUAACAGGUACGGGCUCUGAGAGGAGGAGCCCGGAGAUGGGUACUGAGACACGGACCCAGGCCCUAUGGGGCGCAGCAGGCGAGAAACCUUAGCAAUGUGCGAAAGCACGACUAGGUUAAUCCGAGUGGUUUCUGUUGAAGAAACCUUUUGUCAGUCGUAAAACCACAGACGAAUAAGGGGUGGGCAAGUCUGGUGUCAGCCGCCGCGGUAAUACCAGCACCUCGAGUGGUCAGGAGGUUUAUUGGGCCUAAAGCAUCCGUAGCCGGCUUUGCAAGUCUCCGGUUAAAUCCAGCUGCUCAACAGAUGGGCUGCCGGAGAUACUACAAAGCUAGGGAGCGGGAGAGGUAGACGGUAUUCUGUGGGUAGGGGUAAAAUCCACUGAUCCAUAGAGGACCACCAGUGGCGAAGGCGGUCUACCAGAACGCGUUCGACGGUGAGGGAUGAAAGCUGGGGGAGCAAACCGGAUUAGAUACCCGGGUAGUCCCAGCUGUAAACGAUGCAAACUCGGUGAUGCAUUGGCUUAUGGCCAAUGCAGUGCCGCAGGGAAGCCGUUAAGUUUGCCGCCUGGGAAGUACGGACGCAAGUCUGAAACUUAAAGGAAUUGGCGGG